GACGAACGCUGGCGGCGUGCUUAACACAUGCAAGUCGAACGGUGAAGCUCCAGCUUGCUGGAGUGGAUCAGUGGCGAACGGGUGAGUAACACGUGAGCAACCUGCCCCUGACUCUGGAAUAAGCGCUGGAAACGGCGUCUAAUACUGGAUACGAGAAGGGUCCGCAUGGGCACUUUCUGGAAAGUUUUUCGGUUGGGGAUGGGCUCGCGGCCUAUCAGCUUGUUGGUGAGGUAAUGGCUCACCAAGGCGACGACGGGUAGCCGGCCUGAGAGGGCGACCGGCCACACUGGGACUGAGACACGGCCCAGACUCCUACGGGAGGCAGCAGUGGGGAAUAUUGCACAAUGGGCGAAAGCCUGAUGCAGCGACGCCGCGUGAGGGAUGACGGCCUUCGGGUUGUAAACCUCUUUCAGCAGGGAAGAAGCGAAAGUGACGGUACCUGCAGAAGAAGCACCGGCUACUACGUG
Molecule: ribosomal RNA, 467 nt
Filed under: uncultured bacterium
Lineage: Bacteria
Description: partial 16S ribosomal RNA
Rfam family: Bacterial small subunit ribosomal RNA
Source: RNAcentral